AAGAGUUUGAAUCCUGGCUCAGAACGAACGCUGGCGGCGUGCUUAAGACAUGCAAGUCGAACGGUAAGGCUUGUCACUCUUCGGAGUGACUCGCACACGAGUGGCGCACGGGUGAGUAACGCGUGGGUAAUCUGCCUUCGGGUUUGGGACAACUCCGGGAAACUGGAGCUAAUACCGAAUAAGACCACGAGGUCCUUGGGCCUUGCGGAAAAAGGUGGCCUCUUCUUGAAAGCUAUCGCCUGUAGAUGAGCCCGCGUCCCAUUAGCUUGUUGGUGAGGUAACGGCUCACCAAGGCAUCGAUGGGUAGCUGGUCUGAGAGGAUGAUCAGCCACACUGGAACUGAGACACGGUCCAGACUCCUGCGGGAGGCAGCAGUCGGGAAUCUUGCACAAUGGGCGAAAGCCUGAUGCAGCAACGCCGCGUGAGGGAUGAAGGCCCUCGGGUCGUAAACCUCUGUCGGAAGGGAAGAAAGUAUUUCGGGCCAAUACCCCGGAGUAUCGACGGUACCUUCAAAGGAAGCGCCGGCUAACUCCGUGCCAGCAGCCGCGGUAAUACGGAGGGCGCGAGCGUUAUUCGGAAUCAUUGGGCGUAAAGCGCGUGUAGGCGGCUGGGUAAGUCGGAUGUGAAAGCCCGGGGGCUCACUCCGGAAUUGCAUUCGAAACUGUCCAGCUAGAGUCUCGGAGAGGAGGGCGGAAUUCC
RNAcentral lists this ribosomal RNA (699 nucleotides) under uncultured bacterium. RNAcentral's name for it is "bacterial SSU rRNA". It matches the Rfam family "Bacterial small subunit ribosomal RNA", at positions 1 to 670 of the family's 1533-position model. The record is from RNAcentral.